CUUCACCAAUAAGACACUGGAUGGUUUACACACCGUCCAAUAAUCAUCACAAGCUUACAAGGUGGAGUUAAAAUUGAUAGACAUAAACUUUUAACCAUUGUAUCGUGGGAUAGUUAAGCAGUUAGCCAAUGGAAAAGAGGGGGAGGCGGGAGAAAGGGGAAGGUCGUAUUAAAGACAGCCAGGAAACUAAACCAAUGGACUUGAGCGUUAUUGCAGGGCUACCAAUAGGCGACUCGGAAGGCGGGCCUCUUAUGUGUUUAGGUUCGUGCUUCUCCAGGGAGUGAGACGGCGGCGACUGGGAAAGUUUAUUUUUUUUGGAGGCGGCGUUUCCCCUCCUCCCCCUGCAAUUUGUUUGGAUCUUGAGAUAAGCUGGUAAGGCGGGUAAAGCGGCUCCUGCGAAGCGCCAAGGAGCAGGCGGUGGGCUUCGCGGCUGCACCGCAGCGAACGGAGAGGCGACGAUCGUAGCUUCUUAUGGUAAUUUGAUUUUUGCACUGAAUGUAGCCAGGACAGGUCCUAGUGGGCUUCAAUAGCCCUAAGAAGCUAUCAAGAAUUUCAUAUUUCAGCAGAAUUUUGCACAGAUUCUGUUCCCAUGCAAACUGAUGAGGGAGAAAUUUUGGAAGAAGGCAGUUCCAAGAUGGAACAUGAGGAUUUUGUAAUGGAAGGGCAUGGCAAGACUCCACCUCCUGGUGAAGAAAACAAACAGUGCAUUUGUUAUGAAAUAUGAGUCUUAGCAUUUCAGUCCUGAACAAAUCCAAGUAAGUACUAUUAUAUGCACUAGGAGUUGUAAUUAAACUAUAGUGUUACUCUGCAGCAGUAUACUAUGGUCUAAUGAAAGUGCAUAAAGAUCAUAGUGAAUUACUUUAGAUAAUGCAGUUAAAUUUAAUUGUUAUGGGAUUUUUUUCUUUUGACAUAUUCUGUAAUCCAAACGGUAUUGAUUUAUUUAAGAGACUCCCAGUAUUGCAUCAUGAAACAACUGUUUUAAGGCAGUUCACAGCAAUUCUUCAGUACUUUUGUUAUCAUUAUCUUAAGACUUGACUGAAUGAAUUUCAGAUCAGUGUGAGCUGUAGUGACAUUAUAUCCUCCGAUCAGUAGGCUUUUGCUUACCUCUCACAGUCUAAAGUCCACUUUCUUAUGUAUUCCUUUUCCAUCAAUUAUAUUGGUCUCUAGUUUCCCAUCGGAUAUGGAGUGUUUUGUUAAUGAAAUUUAUGCCUUCUAGACAUCUUUACUACAAACUCUUUUUUAUCAAUCCAUACUUUUAGCACUUUUAGUUUCAUGUGAACUGAAAUUCACUGAAUUAAAAACUGUCAUGUGCAGCCACCUUAACUUGGAUAAGUGAUUGGCUUAAUUUAACAAAUAAGGAUAUUCUUCCUCUUGAAAGGUGAGAUUUAAUGUAUGGUUGGCAUGCAUAUUUAAUUUUUAACAAGAAAGU
Molecule: long non-coding RNA, 1429 nt
Organism: Crotalus tigris (Tiger rattlesnake)
Lineage: Eukaryota; Metazoa; Chordata; Lepidosauria; Squamata; Viperidae
Exons: 5
Source: RefSeq, a predicted model, not a curated record